CCUUGAGCAUGGACAGCCUGGAUCUGCUGGGUGAAGGGAGAAGUUAUGUCCAGGGUGGGACAGAGAGGAUGGCGAGAGAUUUCCUCACUGCUCAGAACAGUGGGAAAUUCAAAACUUAGGGAUUAUUUCUGAAAUUUUCCAUUUAAAAAUUUCCAUUUAUAAUUGACCAAGGGUAACUGAAACCAGAGAAAGCAAGACUGAGGAUAAGGGAGGGGCCUCCUGUACUCCAAGAGCACUGAAUCCGGAAAAACUCAACACAUUGAUGGAGUCAUAUAUUUAAUUUUUUCUUAAAAGCCACCUGCGGGAUAUUGUAGAAACACUGCGCUGCCAAUCACAGCUUGUGAUGUGACACAUUCAUUCUGCAAGUUUAAACUUCCCCUAGUGGCUGCACCAUUUUGCAUUCUGGGAUGUGAUGUGGAACAGAAUUACCUUCAGAAUGAAGUUCAAAAACUCACUGGGAAUAAGUACAGAGAAAUGAUGCUGCAAGCUGAUGAAAUAAAUUUACUGUAGGAACAAAA
RNAcentral lists this small RNA (518 nucleotides) under Pongo abelii (Sumatran orangutan). Its description in RNAcentral is "processed transcript". The record is from RNAcentral. Lineage: Eukaryota; Metazoa; Chordata; Mammalia; Primates; Hominidae.